Molecule: transfer RNA, 74 nt
Filed under: Plesiocystis pacifica
Lineage: Bacteria; Pseudomonadati; Myxococcota; Nannocystales; Nannocystaceae
Also listed under: 1 other name
Description: tRNA-Met
Rfam family: tRNA
About the family: Transfer RNA (tRNA) molecules are approximately 80 nucleotides in length. Their secondary structure includes four short double-helical elements and three loops (D, anti-codon, and T loops).
Source: RNAcentral
CGCGGGGUAGAGGAGCAGGUUCCCUCGCGGGGCUCAUAAUCCCGAGCACGCCGGUUCGAAUCCGGCCCCCGCAA